Long non-coding RNA from Carya illinoinensis, 248 nucleotides. RefSeq lists it as uncharacterized. NCBI's taxonomy places the organism in Eukaryota, Viridiplantae, Streptophyta, Magnoliopsida, Fagales, Juglandaceae. The record is from RefSeq and is a predicted model, not a curated record. The transcript has 3 exons.
CUCCCAUUUCUGCAUGUUCCAGUUCAAAAAGUGCGACUUUCGACAUUCCCAAAUCUGCCGUUCGACAACAAGCAAACCCUUUUCCUGUAUUAGUGGGUUAUCCAACUCGCCUCCAUCCCAUCGUCCCCUCCACUCGGUGAUCAUCCAGUCCAUUUGAUAGUGAUUGGCAUCAAGAACACCUCUGGAUUUCUUCUUUUGGACUGUUGAGGUUUUUUGUUCUACUAAUUUGUUGGUGUUGUGUCUUUCCA